GACGAACGCUGGCGGCGUGCUUAACACAUGCAAGUCGAACGGAAAGGCCCUGCUUUUGUGGGGUGCUCGAGUGGCGAUCGGGUGAGUAACACGUGAGUAACCUGCCCUUGACUUUGGGAUAACUUCAGGAAACUGGGGCUAAUACCGGAUAGGAGCUCCUGCUGCAUGGUGGGGGUUGGAAAGUUUCGGCGGUUGGGGAUGGACUCGGGGCUUAUCAGCUUGUUGGUGGGGUAGUGGCUUACCAAGGCUUUGACGGGUAGCCGGCCUGAGAGGGUGACCGGCCACAUUGGGACUGAGAUACGGCCCAGACUCCUACGGGAGGCAGCAGUGGGGAAUAUUGCACAAUGGGCGGAAGCCUGAUGCAGCAACGCCGCGUGCGGGAUGACGGCCUUCGGGUUGUAAACCGCUUUCGCCUGUGACGAAGCGUGAGUGACGGUAAUGGGUAAAGAAGCACCGGCUAACUACGUG
This 468-nucleotide ribosomal RNA is filed under the name uncultured bacterium. RNAcentral describes it as "partial 16S ribosomal RNA". It matches the Rfam family "Bacterial small subunit ribosomal RNA", at positions 28 to 507 of the family's 1533-position model. The record is from RNAcentral.